AUUUAAGUAGCUUAAUUAAAAGCUAAACAUUGAAAAUGUUUAAAUACAUUUUUGUCUUAAGUA
This 63-nucleotide transfer RNA is filed under the name Matsumuramata muiri. Its description in RNAcentral is "tRNA-Phe". Lineage: Eukaryota; Metazoa; Arthropoda; Insecta; Hemiptera; Delphacidae. The record is from RNAcentral.